CUACGGGGGGCAGCAGUGGGGAAUAUUGGACAAUGGGGGAAACCCUGAUCCAGCAAUGCCGCGUGUGUGAAGAAGGCCUGCGGGUUGUAAAGCACUUUCGGUUGGGAGGACUGCUUCUAGCACUAAUAUUGUUGGAAGUUGACGUUACCUUCAGAAGAAGCACCGGCUAACUCCGUGCCAGCAGCCGCGGUAAUACGGAGGGUGCAAGCGUUAAUCGGAAUUACUGGGCGUAAAGCGCGCGUAGGCGGCUAGAUCAGUCGGGUGUGAAAGCCCCGGGCUUAACCUGGGAACUGCAUCCGAUACUGUCUAGCUUGAGUACAGGAGAGGAGAGUGGAAUUCCACAUGUAGCGGUGAAAUGCGUAGAUAAGUGGAGGAACACCAAUGGCGAAGGCAGCUCUCUGGCCUGAUACUGACGCUGAGGUGCGAAAGCGUGGGGAGCUAACAGGAUUAGAUACCCUAGUAGUC
Molecule: ribosomal RNA, 465 nt
Filed under: uncultured bacterium
Lineage: Bacteria
Description: partial 16S ribosomal RNA
Rfam family: Bacterial small subunit ribosomal RNA
Source: RNAcentral